GAUCACUAGUGAUUAACCGGAGAGCGUCUUCAUUGACCUCUCCAACCCUUCACAUCCACAUACACCCUGUGAACCGUUUGGCUUUGUUGAGCUGAAAGUUGAAAGAAUAGGCUUGCAAAAGUCUAGUCGGACGAUGGACAGAUCGCAAGGUCAUCAUCAUAUACAUACACGAAGUCUAAUGAAUGUAAACGUUUUAUAUAAACAAAAUAAAACUUUCAACAACGGAUCUCUUGGUUCUCGCAUCGAUGAAGAACGCAGCGAAAUGCGAUAAGUAAUGUGAAUUGCAGAAUUCAGUGAAUCAUCGAAUCUUUGAACGCACCUUGCACUCUCUGGUAUUCCGGAGAGUACGCCUGUUUGAGUGUCAUGAAACUCUCACUCCUCAUCUUUCUUUAUUGAGAGGUAGGGACGUGGAUUUGGAUCUGUUGCUGGUGAAUCUGAUUCAUCGGCUCGUCCGAAAUAUAUUAGCUGGAUCCUCUUUGUCAAUUGGUUCUACUCGACGUAAUAAGUAUUUCGUCGAGGACGGUCUUCGGAUCGGCCGAUAGAAAGAGUCUUUUUUUAGAUCCGCUUCUAAUCCGUGCGAUUUUAUUAUCCACACACUUUUAA
This 603-nucleotide unclassified non-coding RNA is filed under the name Udeniomyces pyricola. Its description in RNAcentral is "sequence contains 18S rRNA gene, ITS1, 5.8S rRNA gene, ITS2, 28S rRNA gene". The stretch from base 211 to 364 matches the Rfam family "5.8S ribosomal RNA". The record is from RNAcentral. Lineage: Eukaryota; Fungi; Basidiomycota; Tremellomycetes; Cystofilobasidiales; Mrakiaceae.